Molecule: long non-coding RNA, 221 nt
Filed under: Elaeis guineensis (African oil palm)
Lineage: Eukaryota; Viridiplantae; Streptophyta; Magnoliopsida; Arecales; Arecaceae
Description: long non-coding RNA (EGUI_LNC073286)
Source: RNAcentral
ACUCGGUUAGAUGAAUUGAUCCGAAAGACUGGUCGACCUACGGUUGUUACGCUGACCAGAAAUUGCUCUGACAUGCAAUCCAAAUAAGGAUCGGAUGCGACUGAAGAUCGACCUGUUGAUUCUCCGACCAAAGGUCGGACCAAAUUUUUUCCGUCCAGGAUUCGAGUAAAGAACCAUCCGACUAGAGGUCGAACCAAAAACUAACUGACGAAGGAUCGAAG